Molecule: ribosomal RNA, 484 nt
Filed under: uncultured bacterium
Lineage: Bacteria
Description: partial 16S ribosomal RNA
Rfam family: Bacterial small subunit ribosomal RNA
Source: RNAcentral
AUUGAACGCUGGCGGCAGGCCUAACACAUGCAAGUCGAGCGGAUGAAGGGAGCUUGCUCCUGGAUUCAGCGGCGGACGGGUGAGUAAUGCCUAGGAAUCUGCCUGGUAGUGGGGGAUAACGUCCGGAAACGGGCGCUAAUACCGCAUACGUCAUGAGGGAGAAAGUGGGGGAUCUUCGGACCUCACGCUAUCAGAUGAGCCUAGGUCGGAUUAGCUAGUUGGUGGGGUAAAGGCCUACCAAGGCGACGAUCCGUAACUGGUCUGAGAGGAUGAUCAGUCACACUGGAACUGAGACACGGUCCAGACUCCUACGGGAGGCAGCAGUAGGGAAUAUUGGGCAAUGGGCGAAAGCCUGAUCCAGCCAUGCCGCGUGUGUGAAGAAGGUCUUCGGAUUGUAAAGCUCUUUAAGUUGGGAAGAAGGGAAGUAAAUUAAUACCUUGCCGUUUUGACGUUACCAACAGAAUAAGCACCGGCUAACUUCGUG